Molecule: ribosomal RNA, 437 nt
Filed under: uncultured bacterium
Lineage: Bacteria
Description: bacterial SSU rRNA
Rfam family: Bacterial small subunit ribosomal RNA
Source: RNAcentral
GAUGAACGCUGGCGGUAUGCCUAACACAUGCAAGUCGUACGAGAGUUUUUAACUCUAGUGGCGGACGGGUGAGUAACACGUGAGAAUUUGCCUUUAGGAGGGGGAUAACAAUUGGAAACGAAUGCUAAUACCCCAUAUGCUUUUGAGUGAAAUGGAUUUUAUCCGCCUAGAGAGAAGCUCGCGGCUGAUUAGCUUGUUGGUAAGGUAAGAGCUUACCAAGGCGACGAUCAGUAUCUGGUUUGAGAGGACGAUCAGACACACUGGAACUGAGACACGGUCCAGACUCCUACGGGAGGCAGCAGUGGGGAAUCUUGCGCAAUGGGCGAAAGCCUGACGCAGCCAUGCCGCGUGUAUGAUGAAGGUCUUAGGAUUGUAAAAUACUUUCACCGGUGAAGAUAAUGACUGUAGCCGGAGAAGAAGCCCCGGCUAACUUCGUG